Non-coding RNA from Cicer arietinum (chickpea), 88 nucleotides. NCBI's taxonomy places the organism in Eukaryota, Viridiplantae, Streptophyta, Magnoliopsida, Fabales, Fabaceae. The record is from Rfam.
GUUCCCAAUGAUUGUUUACUACCAUUUUUACCAUGCUAAUGCUGAUAAUUGAUGAUUAAUGUGUUCAGUUAAUCAUAAUGAGGGAUCU